AUGUUGAAGCUACCAUCUGGAGUUGUGAGGCUUUAUGGUCUAGAGACACUAGAUCUUAGAGAUACACAUAUAGAAGAAUUGCCGACUGGAAUUAUUCAGCUUGUUAAGUUACAACAUCUACUCAUUGCAAGAUAUCCAUAUUUCGACACUGCUCUUGGUGAAAUGAAGAUACCAAAUGGGAUUGGAACUAUGAAGAAUUUACAGGCGAUCUCAGGCUUUAAUAUUAUGAAGAGUUCGUUAUGUGCAGUCGAGGAACUGGGGGAUCUGACAGGUUUGAAAGAACUUCAUCUACAGUUGGAUGGUGGAGGAUCCCAGGAAUACAAGAGGCAUGAAGAGAUGUUACUCUCCUCACUCUGCAAGCUUGGCGCCUACAAACUUCAGUCUUUAAGGUUACACUCUCCUGAUUCAACACCCAUCCAGUUCUUAGAAUCUUGGUCCCCUCUGCCAUAUAACCUCCAAAUAUUUUGGAUGACCACUAACUAUGAUUUACCAAAAUUGCCAAAGUGGAUUGUACCAGCACUCACUAGUCUUGCAUACUUGAACAUUAAUUUGAUUGAAGCAACAGAGGAGGAUCUGCAGAUACUUGGACAUAUGCCUGCCUUACUUUGUCUGAGUAUAACAAUCGGCACUGUCCAAAAAGAAAGGCUUACAGUACAAGGAGUUGGAUUCCUGUGUUUGAAGGAAUUCUCCCUUAUCUGUGAUUACUAUGUUAAAAGUGCAAUUUACUUGACGUUUAAGGAAAGGGCACUGCCAAAGCUGGAGAAGCUUGAGCUGCCGUUCUUUGUUUUGGUGGCAGAAGCAUAUGGGUUCUACUUGGGUCUUGGCCACCUCCCAUGUCUCAGAGAUGCCGAAGUUACUCUUUGCGAUGAUGAUGACACAUCUUACGAAAGCAACUCUGCUGCAGCUGCCGCUAUAAGGAACUAG
RNAcentral lists this ribosomal RNA (924 nucleotides) under Triticum aestivum (bread wheat). RNAcentral's name for it is "partial small subunit ribosomal RNA". Lineage: Eukaryota; Viridiplantae; Streptophyta; Magnoliopsida; Poales; Poaceae. The record is from RNAcentral.